AAGAAACCAACAGGGAUUGCCUCAGUAACGGCGAGUGAAGCGGCAACAGCGCAGAUUUGAAAUCUAGCCUUUGGCUCGAGUUGUAAUCUGUAGAUGAGUCUUUGGGUUACGUGCCGUCUAAGUUCCCUGGAAUGGGGCGCCAUAGAGGGUGAGAGCCCCGUACCGACGUGCGCCGCGCCUGUUUAAAGCUCAUUCGAAGAGUCGAGUAGUUUGGAAAUGCUGCUCUAAUUGUGGGGUAAAUCUCCCAUAAGGCUAAAUAUUGGCCAGAGACCGAUAGCGCACAAGUAGCGUGAGCGAAAGAUGAAAAGAGCCUUGAAUAAGGGCGUCAAAAAGUAUGUGAAAUUGUUAUGGGGGAAGCGCUUAGUGCCAGACGUGGUGGCAGUUGGUUACCCGGCGUUCUUCGCCGGCGCACUCUUCUGUCUCCAGGCCAGCAUCGGUUCGGUUUGGGGCUCAAUGUCGUAGGGAACGUGGCUCCUCGGAGUGUUAUAGCCUUGCGGCGACGUCCCGGACCGGACCGAGGUUCGCGCAUCUGCUCGGAUGCUGGCGUAAUGGCCCUCAGCGACCCGUCUUGAAACACGGACCAAGGAGUUGACCUAGCACGCGAGUGUUUGGGUGUUAAGCCCUCACGCGCAGUGAAAGCGAACGCAGGUGGGAGCCUCGGCGCACCAUCGACCGAUCCUGAAGUUUACGGAUGGAUUUGAGUAGGAGCGUGUUGGGUCUGACCCGAAAGAAGGUGAACUAUGCAUGAAUAGGGUGAAGCCAGAGGAAACUCUGGUGGAGGCUCGCAGCGGUUCUGACGUGCAAAUCGAUCGUCAAAUUUGUGCAUGGGGGCGAAA
This 836-nucleotide ribosomal RNA is filed under the name Dematipyriforma terrestris. Its description in RNAcentral is "Dematipyriforma sp. BCS-2023a partial large subunit ribosomal RNA". It matches the Rfam family "Eukaryotic large subunit ribosomal RNA", at positions 59 to 928 of the family's 3401-position model. The record is from RNAcentral. Lineage: Eukaryota; Fungi; Ascomycota; Sordariomycetes; Savoryellales; Savoryellaceae.